ACUUUAUUGGUAUGCGAAACUUCCGGAAUCCGUAUUCCGGCAAGAUUUUGGAAGCGCGCAAGCGCUAUUUUUUUUUUGUCAUGUGUGAGUGUGCGCCCCCCCUCCUCCACCGGGGGGGGUCUUCCCACGCGCGCGGUGGUCUCUUUUUCCCUUGCUGCUGGGCCGGGGGGGCGCGCCGCUGCGGGUGUUCUCCUCUUGUCGGCGCCCCCUCGGGCCUGCCUGGCCUCCUUGCAAGGGGCCCUGCAUGCGCACCCGGCACCCCGCGCACGGUGGCCGGGACCCCCCUAUCCCCCCCCCCCCUUGGUCCGGCGCACGCCUGACACGCGGUUAAAGCAUGCCAAAAAAGCCACCCCCCUCAGACCCACUUGGCAUGUGUAAACUUUUAACUAACGCUAUAUAAGUAUCAGUUUCUGU
This 414-nucleotide unclassified non-coding RNA is filed under the name Endotrypanum sp. M6843 LV-59. Its description in RNAcentral is "trans-spliced leader RNA". The record is from RNAcentral. Lineage: Eukaryota; Euglenozoa; Kinetoplastea; Trypanosomatida; Trypanosomatidae.